CAGAGAUUUCCGAAUGGGGAAACCCAGCAUGAGUUAUGUCAUGUUAUCGAUAUGUGAAUACAUAGCAUAUCAGAAGGCACACCCGGAGAACUGAAACAUCUUAGUACCCGGAGGAAGAGAAAGAAAAUUCGAUUCCCUUAGUAGCGGCGAGCGAAACGGGAAGAGCCCAAACCAACAAGCUUGCUUGUUGGGGUUGUAGGACACUCUAUACGGAGUUACAAAGGACGACAUUAGACGAAUCAUCUGGAAAGAUGAAUCAAAGAAGGUAAUAAUCCUGUAGUCGAAAAUGUUGUCUCUCUUGAGUGGAUCCUGAGUACGACGGAGCACGUGAAAUUCCGUCGGAAUCUGGGAGGACCAUCUCCUAAGGCUAAAUACUCUCUAGUGACCGAUAGUGAACCAGUACCGUGAGGGAAAGGUGAAAAGCACCCCGGAAGGGGAGUGAAAUAGAACCUGAAACCGUGUGCUUACAAGUAGUCAGAGCCCGUUAAUGGGUGAUGGCGUGCCUUUUGUAGAAUGAACCGGCGAGUUACGAUUUGAUGCAAGGUUAAGCAGUAAAUGUGGAGCCGUAGCGAAAGCGAGUCUGAAUAGGGCGUUUAGUAUUUGGUCGUAGACCCGAAACCAGGUGAUCUACCCUUGGUCAGGUUGAAGUUCAGGUAACACUGAAUGGAGGACCGAACCGACUUACGUUGAAAAGUGAGCGGAUGAACUGAGGGUAGCGGAGAAAUUCCAAUCGAACCUGGAGAUAGCUGGUUCUCUCCGAAAUAGCUUUAGGGCUAGCCUCAAGUGAUGAUUAUUGGAGGUAGAGCACUGUUUGGACGAGGGGCCCCUCUCGGGUUACCGAAUUCAGACAAACUCCGAAUGCCAAUUAAUUUAACUUGGGAGUCAGAACAUGGGUGAUAAGGUCCGUGUUCGAAAGGGAAACAGCCCAGACCACCAGCUAAGGUCCCAAAAUAUAUGUUAAGUGGAAAAGGAUGUGGCGUUGCCCAGACAACUAGGAUGUUGGCUUAGAAGCAGCCAUCAUUUAAAGAGUGCGUAAUAGCUCACUAGUCGAGUGACACUGCGCCGAAAAUGUACCGGGGCUAAACAUAUUACCGAAGCUGUGGAUUGUCCUUUGGACAAUGGUAGGAGAGCGUUCUAAGGGCGUUGAAGCAUGAUCGUAAGGACAUGUGGAGCGCUUAGAAGUGAGAAUGCCGGUGUGAGUAGCGAAAGACGGGUGAGAAUCCCGUCCACCGAUUGACUAAGGUUUCCAGAGGAAGGCUCGUCCGCUCUGGGUUAGUCGGGUCCUAAGCUGAGGCCGACAGGCGUAGGCGAUGGAUAACAGGUUGAUAUUCCUGUACCACCUAUAAUCGUUUUAAUCGAUGGGGGGACGCAGUAGGAUAGGCGAAGCGUGCGAUUGGAUUGCACGUCUAAGCAGUAAGGCUGAGUAUUAGGCAAAUCCGGUACUCGUUAAGGCUGAGCUGUGAUGGGGAGAAGACAUUGUGUCUUCGAGUCGUUGAUUUCACACUGCCGAGAAAAGCCUCUAGAUAGAAAAUAGGUGCCCGUACCGCAAACCGACACAGGUAGUCAAGAUGAGAAUUCUAAGGUGAGCGAGCGAACUCUCGUUAAGGAACUCGGCAAAAUGACCCCGUAACUUCGGGAGAAGGGGUGCUCUUUAGGGUUAACGCCCAGAAGAGCCGCAGUGAAUAGGCCCAAGCGACUGUUUAUCAAAAACACAGGUCUCUGCUAAACCGUAAGGUGAUGUAUAGGGGCUGACGCCUGCCCGGUGCUGGAAGGUUAAGAGGAGUGGUUAGCUUCUGCGAAGCUACGAAUCGAAGCCCCAGUAAACGGCGGCCGUAACUAUAACGGUCCUAAGGUAGCGAAAUUCCUUGUCGGGUAAGUUCCGACCCGCACGAAAGGCGUAACGAUUUGGGCACUGUCUCAACGAGAGACUCGGUGAAAUCAUAGUACCUGUGAAGAUGCAGGUUACCCGCGACAGGACGGAAAGACCCCGUGGAGCUUUACUGUAGCCUGAUAUUGAAAUUCGGCACAGCUUGUACAGGAUAGGUAGGAGCCUUUGAAACGUGAGCGCUAGCUUACGUGGAGGCGCUGGUGGGAUACUACCCUAGCUGUGUUGGCUUUCUAACCCGCACCACUUAUCGUGGUGGGAGACAGUGUCAGGCGGGCAGUUUGACUGGGGCGGUCGCCUCCUAAAAGGUAACGGAGGCGCUCAAAGGUUCCCUCAGAAUGGUUGGAAAUCAUUCAUAGAGUGUAAAGGCAUAAGGGAGCUUGACUGCGAGACCUACAAGUCGAGCAGGGUCGAAAGACGGACUUAGUGAUCCGGUGGUUCCGCAUGGAAGGGCCAUCGCUCAACGGAUAAAAGCUACCCCGGGGAUAACAGGCUUAUCUCCCCCAAGAGUUCACAUCGACGGGGAGGUUUGGCACCUCGAUGUCGGCUCAUCGCAUCCUGGGGCUGUAGUCGGUCCCAAGGGUUGGGCUGUUCGCCCAUUAAAGCGGUACGCGAGCUGGGUUCAGAACGUCGUGAGACAGUUCGGUCCCUAUCCGUCGUGGGCGUAGGAAAUUUGAGAGGAGCUGUCCUUAGUACGAGAGGACCGGGAUGGACAUACCUCUGGUGUACCAGUUGUCGUGCCAACGGCAUAGCUGGGUAGCUAUGUGUGGACGGGAUAAGUGCUGAAAGCAUCUAAGCAUGAAGCCCCCCUCAAGAUGAGAUUUCCCAACUUCGGUUAUAAGAUCCCUCAAAGAUGAUGAGGUUAAUAGGUUCGAGGUGGAAGCAUGGUGACAUGUGGAGCUGACGAAUACUAAUCGAUCGAAGACUUAAUCAA
Molecule: ribosomal RNA, 2819 nt
Filed under: Staphylococcus aureus
Lineage: Bacteria; Bacillati; Bacillota; Bacilli; Caryophanales; Staphylococcaceae
Description: partial 23S ribosomal RNA
Rfam family: Bacterial large subunit ribosomal RNA
Source: RNAcentral